This 786-nucleotide ribosomal RNA is filed under the name uncultured Neocallimastigales. Its description in RNAcentral is "partial large subunit ribosomal RNA". It matches the Rfam family "Eukaryotic large subunit ribosomal RNA", at positions 24 to 639 of the family's 3401-position model. Lineage: Eukaryota; Fungi; Neocallimastigomycota; Neocallimastigomycetes; Neocallimastigales. The record is from RNAcentral.
UACGACUACAUAUCAGGCAUAUCAAUAAGCGGAGGAAAAGAAACUAACAAGGAUUCCCCUAGUAACGGCGAGUGAAGCGGGAAGAGCUCAAAUUUGAAAUCUUAAAGGGUUUCCCUUUACGAAUUGUAGUUUAAAGAAGUGUUUUCUGUUGGAGUUUCGGUAAAAGUUCUUUGGAAUAGGACAUCAUAGAGGGUGAGAAUCCCGUAUUUGACCGUUACUUUCCAGCUGUGUGAUACACUUUCAAAGAGUCGGAUUGUUUGGGAAUGCAGUCCAAAAUGGGUGGUAAAUUUCAUCUAAAGCUAAAUAUUGGCGAGAGACCGAUAGCGAACAAGUACCGUGAGGGAAAGAUGAAAAGAACUUUGAAAAGAGAGUUAAACAGUACGUGAAAUUGUCAAAAGGGAAGCGUUUGACACCAGUGUUGUUUAGUUGAAAAUCAAUUAAAUAAUUUUUGAUUUUGAGUAGUAUUGACUUCAUCAGCUUGCUGCAUCUUUUUCAGGAAUUUAUUUUAAUGCACUUUUCAGUUAACAAGUCAACAUCAAUUUCUUUUGUUGUAAAAGAGGUCAGUAGGAAGGUGGCUUACACUUCGGUGUAAGUGUUUAUAGCCUUUGACCUUCUGCAAUCGGAGAGAUUGAGGUCAUGCAGCGUAGAUCCUUCGGGGUUAGAUACACUUAGAUGCUAAGUUAUAGCUUUGUCAUAGACAACUUGUUGACUAUGAUUAAGUCAUGUAGCUUACUCGUUUGUCGCUAUUUUACCUACGCUUAGGAUGUUGACGCGCGUGUGUGCGUG